CACGUAGGGACCGAGCGUUGUCCGGAUUUAUUGGGCGUAAAGAGCUCGUAGGCGGUUCAGCAAGUCGGGUGUGAAAACUCUGGGCUCAACCCAGAGAUGCCACCCGAUACUGCUGUGACUAGAGUCCGGUAGGGGAGUGGGGAAUUCCUGGUGUAGCGGUGAAAUGCGCAGAUAUCAGGAGGAACACCGGUGGCGAAGGCGGCUCUCUGGGACGGUACUGACGCUGAGACGCGAAAGCGUGGGGAGCGAACAGG
Molecule: ribosomal RNA, 254 nt
Filed under: uncultured bacterium
Lineage: Bacteria
Description: partial 16S ribosomal RNA
Rfam family: Bacterial small subunit ribosomal RNA
Source: RNAcentral